UGGACCUCAGAUCAGGCAAGAUCACCCGCUGAGUUUAAGCAUAUCACUAAGCGGAGGAAAAGAAACUAACGAGGAUUUCCUUAGUAACGGCGAGCG
This 96-nucleotide ribosomal RNA is filed under the name Frullania chevalieri. RNAcentral describes it as "partial 26S ribosomal RNA". It matches the Rfam family "Eukaryotic large subunit ribosomal RNA", at positions 1 to 95 of the family's 3401-position model. The record is from RNAcentral. Lineage: Eukaryota; Viridiplantae; Streptophyta; Jungermanniopsida; Porellales; Frullaniaceae.